UUUUUUUUAUUUUUUAUUUUUAUGAAGCAACUUAUCAAAUGAACAGCUAACAUAUUGCAGAUAUGAAAACAUAAUUAAAAAGAAAAGAUCUAAUAGUAAAUAAAUAUUUAUACGAGUAAUGAUUUUUCUUAUAAUUAUUAUUUAAAAAAUUCAGACAUGACUGAGAAAUAAAUUUUUAAUUUUAUAAUUAACUAUACGGGAAAGUGCCUAAGGCCAUACGAGGGCCAUACAUUUUUUGGGAAAAGGAUCCGGGAAUCUUAGGGAUUCUAUAAUCUUGUCUGUUUAUAGUACAUCGUACGGUCAGAAAUAAUUUAAAAUUCAAAUAUAAAUAGUACCUAACAAAAACUAACCGUAAGAUGUACGAUGAAUGGACAAGAUUGCAAGAUCCCUAGGAAAAGGAUCCAACGAGGAUCCCAUUUUUUGUCAAAUUAAUUAGCAACUAACAUGUGUAAAGGUCAUGUGUCACAUGUACGUGGAUACAUGGUACUCUUAUGCUCACACGGUUUUCUAAUUAAGGAGCGAGCUGGAAUUAUCAUGUGAACCUCUUUUUUCCUCUAAACCUAGCUAGCGGAGAAGAAUUACUGGAGAUUAGCUAUUCUGUAAUCGUCGUGUGCGAAGUUACUUUCUCUCUUUCAUAAGGGUGAGGACCAUUAUAUUUGGAAAAUCAC
This 668-nucleotide long non-coding RNA is filed under the name Malus domestica (apple). RNAcentral's name for it is "long non-coding RNA (MDOM_LNC001082)". The record is from RNAcentral. Lineage: Eukaryota; Viridiplantae; Streptophyta; Magnoliopsida; Rosales; Rosaceae.